This 30-nucleotide non-coding RNA is filed under the name Mus musculus (house mouse). Lineage: Eukaryota; Metazoa; Chordata; Mammalia; Rodentia; Muridae. The record is from RNAcentral.
UGUGCUUGGACGAUGGGAUAGGUUUUCUCC